Molecule: long non-coding RNA, 286 nt
Organism: Sander lucioperca (pikeperch)
Lineage: Eukaryota; Metazoa; Chordata; Actinopteri; Perciformes; Percidae
Exons: 3
Source: RefSeq, a predicted model, not a curated record
CGCAGCCGAGUAGCUAUCGCUAGAUGCUAGUCUCACAUAGCCCGACAUUACUCCACAGCGCAGCGGAGUAGCUAACGUUAGAUGCAGGCUAUGUUGACAGUCAUAAAAGCCUGUGCCCUCGCGGAGCUCUGUAACGGACUGACAGCCCCUCUUUCUCGGCUUAAAAUUACGGCAACAACCGCUAAAAACACCACAACCUCGCGCUCCUCUCUACCCAACUUACAGCCACCCUUUCUUGGCUUAAAAUUACUCACCGUUUGUCGGCUACGGUCACCAAACAGGCUAC